GUAGGGGGCAAGCGUUGUCCGGAUUUAUUGGGCGUAAAGCGCGUGUAGGCGGCCAGGUAGGUCAGCUGUGAAAACUCGAGGCUCAACCUCGAGAUGUCGGCUGAAACCAUCUGGCUAGAGUCCGGAAGAGGAGAAUGGAAUUCCCGGUGUAGCGGUGAAAUGCGCAGAUAUCGGGAAGAACACCCGUGGCGAAGGCGGUUCUCUGGGACGGUACUGACGCUGAGACGCGAAAGCGUGGGGAGCGAACAGGAUUAGAUACCCUGGUAGUCCACGCCGUAAACGAUGGGAACUAGGUGUGGGCGGUGUCGACUCCGUCCGUGCCGAAGCUAACGCAUUAAGUUCCCCGCCUGGGGAGUACGGCCGCAAGGCUAAA
RNAcentral lists this ribosomal RNA (373 nucleotides) under uncultured bacterium. RNAcentral's name for it is "bacterial SSU rRNA". It matches the Rfam family "Bacterial small subunit ribosomal RNA", at positions 527 to 898 of the family's 1533-position model. The record is from RNAcentral.